UACAGAGGUGGCAAGCGUUGUUCGGAAUUACUGGGCGUAAAGGGCGCGUAGGCGGCCAUCUAAGUCAGACGUGAAAUCCCUCGGCUUAACCGGGGAACUGCGUCUGAUACUGGAUGGCUUGAAUCCGGGAGAGGGAUGCGGAAUUCCAGGUGUAGCGGUGAAAUGCGUAGAUAUCUGGAGGAACACCGGUGGCGAAGGCGGCAUCCUGGACCGGCAUUGACGCUGAGGAGCGAAAGCCAGGGGAGCAAACGGG
This 253-nucleotide ribosomal RNA is filed under the name uncultured bacterium. RNAcentral describes it as "partial 16S ribosomal RNA". It matches the Rfam family "Bacterial small subunit ribosomal RNA", at positions 524 to 776 of the family's 1533-position model. The record is from RNAcentral.